GCACCCGGACCGAGUUUUUCCUCUCUUCUUCCUCCUGAACCAAACAACUGAUUUGACGGUGGAAGAUGCAGCCAAGACUUCAGCUUCGGAAGAUCAGAGCAAGACGGAGUCGAACCCUAAAUCAAUGCAAGACGAGUUCACUUGGAAAGGGGGUGGAAAGGUCGAUUUGGUCCUUACUGUUAGCUGGUGGAGAACUGAAGUUGUUUUUAGCCUCGGUCUUAUGGGAUAAGAAUAACCAUGAGAUUUGCAAGUCACCGGCUCACAUCGACAUCAGAAAACGAAGAGCCUGGCCUGUUGAAGAUUUAAGGAUUGUGUUCUAAGGUGAGAUACUGUGAGAAGCAGAGAAAGAAGAUGCACAAAUAUGGGAUGUCUCUCAAUUUCCCUUCUUUAGAAAAAAUCUGAGCUUCAUCUAUUCAUCUAAAAGUUUUUACAUUGUAGUUUUUUGCACAAAUAUGAAAUGGGAUUAUACACUUCUCUUCUCUUA
This is a long non-coding RNA of Rosa rugosa (rugosa rose), 484 nucleotides long. RefSeq lists it as uncharacterized. Lineage: Eukaryota; Viridiplantae; Streptophyta; Magnoliopsida; Rosales; Rosaceae. The transcript has 2 exons. The record is from RefSeq and is a predicted model, not a curated record.